GCCGGGAUAGCUCAGUCGGUAGAGCAGAGGACUGAAAAUCCUCGUGUCACCAGUUC
Molecule: transfer RNA, 56 nt
Filed under: Schistochilopsis incisa
Lineage: Eukaryota; Viridiplantae; Streptophyta; Jungermanniopsida; Jungermanniales; Scapaniaceae
Description: partial tRNA-Phe
Rfam family: tRNA
About the family: Transfer RNA (tRNA) molecules are approximately 80 nucleotides in length. Their secondary structure includes four short double-helical elements and three loops (D, anti-codon, and T loops). Further hydrogen bonds mediate the characteristic L-shaped molecular structure. tRNAs have two regions of fundamental functional importance: the anti-codon, which is responsible for specific mRNA codon recognition, and the 3' end, to which the tRNAs corresponding amino acid is attached (by aminoacyl-tRNA synthetases). tRNAs cope with the degeneracy of the genetic code in two manners: having more than one tRNA (with a specific anti-codon) for a particular amino acid; and 'wobble' base-pairing, i.e. permitting non-standard base-pairing at the 3rd anti-codon position.
Source: RNAcentral